Oncorhynchus tshawytscha (Chinook salmon) is the source of this 461-nucleotide long non-coding RNA. NCBI's taxonomy places the organism in Eukaryota, Metazoa, Chordata, Actinopteri, Salmoniformes, Salmonidae. The record is from Ensembl.
AGUAGAUACUAUAGUAGAUAAUAUAGUAGAUACUAUAGUAGAUAAUAUAAUAGAUAAUAAAGUAGAUACUAUAGUAGAUAAUAUAGUAGAUAAUAAGGUAGAUACUAUAGUAGAUAAUAAGGUAGAUAAUAUAGUAGAUAAUAAGGUAGAUAAUAUAGUAGAUAAUAAGGUAGAUAAUAUAGUAGAUAAUAAGGUAGAUACUAUAGUAGAUAAUAAGGUAGAUAAUAAGGUAGAUACUAUAGUAGAUAAUAAGGUCGAUAAUAUAGUAGAUACUAUAGUAGAUAAUAAGGUAGAUAAUAUAGUAGAUACUAUAGUAGAUAAUAAGGUAGAUAAUAUAGUAGAUAAUAAGGUAGAUACUAUAGUAGAUAAUAAGGUAGAUACUAUAGUAGAUAAUAUAGUAGAUACUAUAGUAGAUAAUAAGGUAGAUACUAUAGUAGAUAAUAUAGUAGAUAAUAUAGUAG